GAUGUGCACUGGUUAAUGCAUGGAAUUCAGCAACAGCAGACUUUGUUCCUUUGAUGGAUCCAGAAGAUCGCCACAUCAAGGAAUAUGGAGGGAUGUCCAAAUUUCUACCAAAGCAAUGCUGUUCUGUCCGCAGUAGGCAGUUUGUGUGGAGGUCCAGGGGCCCAGCCAGGUUGCAGCUGAUGAUUCUGUAGAAAGGCCUAAAAUUAGUUUUAGAAAAGCAUACUCAAGACAAUAGACUAUUAUUACAUGGAUAAAAAAUAUAAGAAUAAAGACUGUAAACACAUGUUACCAAAGUGAAUUCUUGAAAUGGAAGAGAAACUUGGCCUUCUUUAGCUUCACCAUUUGUUCCGGCCUUCCACCUCCAAUAAUAGUAUAUGUCUCAAUCCUUGUCUAUACUCCAAAUUUGAAUUGUAUAAUUCAAUUGGUUAAAACUUA
Molecule: long non-coding RNA, 435 nt
Filed under: Pan troglodytes (chimpanzee)
Lineage: Eukaryota; Metazoa; Chordata; Mammalia; Primates; Hominidae
Description: lincRNA
Source: RNAcentral